AAAAAAUUAGUUAAAUUUAUAACAUUAAUUUGUCAAAUUAAAAUUAAUAAUUAUUAUUAUUUUUUU
Molecule: transfer RNA, 66 nt
Filed under: Chouioia cunea
Lineage: Eukaryota; Metazoa; Arthropoda; Insecta; Hymenoptera; Eulophidae
Description: tRNA-Asp
Source: RNAcentral